CACCCCGGGGGUCCCGCCGCGAGGCCGGCAGGCUGCGCAGGGUACGUGGCGGGGCCUCGACGCGCGCCUGGCCCGGGCCGGGAGUCGCGGCGCAGGGAGCUGGGCCGUGCGGGCUCCGGCCGCCUUCAGCUCGCCGCGGGCACCCCUGGCUGGCAGCGCUUCCGUGGCGGGACGUGGCCGCGGAGGGCGCGCUUUCCGGGACCGGGCGACGAGGCGCCCCUCCGCGAGGAUGACAGUCCUGGCCGCGCCCGGGCCGCCUCCCCAGCCUUCCGCAACUCUGUCUCCCAAAGCGGCGCCGUGCCCCGGACCUCUCACCCUGCCCGGUCGGCCACCCGCGCCCUUCCGCUCCACGGACUUGGGCCUGUCUGCAUUGUGGCUAGUGGGUCACUGCAUGGGUGACCCCCCAGGACCCUAUUGUAGCAAAAACCUGUUUGGUUUAGUGUCUGUACUGCCCUGGGCCUGAUGCUCAGUGGGACAGGUUGUGUCUGUCUGGGUCACCCCAGUGUCCCAGGUGCCUAGCAGAGCAAGAGCAUAUGGAUCCCCAGGUUGUGUAUGUGCAUCAACCCAGAGACACAGGCAAAGAUGUCUAAGGUCGUUGGUCAUCAGGAGACUCAAAUCAAAACCACAGUGAGACCACCUUUGACACCCAUGGCUAGAAUCAAAAGACAGUUACAGGUGUUGACAAGGAUGUGGUAAGGCUGGGGCCCUCACCCAGUGUUGGUGCGUGUGCCCAGGAAACAUCAAGUCACCCUGUAACCUCAGUUCUACCUCUGGGUACGUACCAAGGGAAAUGACAACACGUGUCCACAGGAAAACAAGGUUUACAGCAUCAUUAUUAACAGUAGUCAAAAGGUGGAAGCAACCCAAGUGUCCGCAAAUGGAUGGAUGGACAAACCAAAUGUGGUCCAUCCACCCCAUGGAAUAGUACCCAGUUGUAAGAGGGGAUGAAGCGCUGACAUGCGUUGCAACAUGCUUGACCUCAGGAACAUCAUGCUAUGCAAGAGAAGCAGUCACAAAAGGCCAUAUAGUGUAGAAUUCCAUUUAUAUGAGCAUCCAAAAUUGGUGAAUCCACAAAGUAGCCUGGUGGCUGCUACUGCUAAAUAUUUAGGGCUUUUUUCUGUGGGGACAAAAAUAUUCCCAAAUUGAUGAUGGUGAUGGUCCCACUAGAAAUCAUUGAAUUAAACACUUUAAGUGGGUGUAUCUUACAGUAUGUGAAAUAUCACAGAAAAAGCUGUUACAAUAAUAACUUUUGAAAGCAUGGCCAUUUUGCCACUUUUCAUGUCUUUUUAGCAUCUGCCUCUUUUUUUCCACAGAGAGGGGCUGAGAAGGGAGGAAGCACUGUGUAACAUCAUGUGACCGUGUGGCCCUGCAUGGCCAGCAGUGGGAGGAGGGUCAUUCCGACUGGGCUGCAGACGCAAGACCAGCUGUGACCAAGCACUGGGAUUCCCGCUGCUCCCCAGCGGGGGCUCCUUUGAGGAAUCUUGUCUGAGGGCUUCUGGUUUCUCUCUGAAGAAAGCAAGGACAUUUGGCAGAAGGAGGAGGAGGAAGCCGCUGAGGCAGGAGGUCUGAGAGGAAAGGCCAGCCGCAGGCUGUGGCCCCUGCAUUCUCUCCCAGCGGAGUCUGGUGCACACAAGACACCAGCCAACCAGAGACAGCCUGGGGUAGGCAGCCUGCCCCCAGGAAGGUGCCCCCUGAGGACGCAGGAAAAGCCCUCUUGGCCAGAGGGGUGAUGGAUCAAAGCCAGUGGUGUUCCUGGCAGAAACACACAUGGGUUUCAUGAUCACAGCUCCUUACACAGAUUCAUCAAAGGAAAAUAUCUGUGGGGUCAUUUCAAAGACCAGCCAGCUGAAGCCCUGCCAGGUUCUUUGGCAAAUGUUCUGGUCUCUGCAGGUGGGAGGUGCUGGGUGCUGGUGCCCAGUCACUGUGGAGCCUCAGCCCCUUCUCUGCUUUGUGGAGCACAUGCCCGACCGCUUCCAGGGCCGAGGGCGGGCCCCUCCUCUGCUGAGCUUGGGUGCUUCCACCGUGGAAUCAAACAGCUUCCUAGAUGAACCUUGGAGACAUGGCGCUCAGUGAAAUAAGCCUGUCAUAUAAGGGAUCAAUAUUGUAUGAUUCCACUUAUAGAAUAUUCAAAUUCAUAACAAUACAAAGUAGAAUGGUGGGAGCCAGGGGCUGGAGGAAGGAAAAAUACGGAAUUAUUGUGUAGUGGGUAUAGAGUUUCAGUUUGGGAAGACUAACGCAUUCUGCAGACAGAUGGUGAUGAUGGCUACACAACAGUAUGAAUGCGCUUAAUCCCACUGAACUGUAUACACUUGAAGUGAUUGAAAUGGUAAACCUGAUAUUAUGGAUAUUGUACCAUAAUAAUUUUUUAAAGUAUAUCUUCCCAGCUUUAAACCCUAGGCUAGGAAUUCUAGGACCUAGGAAACCCAUGAUUUUAUUUCUUUCCCCCUUUGUAAUUUUUAAUACAUUUCUGUCUUUCACAACUGUAAUCUCUCUGGCCCAAUGGGAACCUACUCAGAAGACCCUGAGAACCUAAUUUCUACUGGAAAAGUAGACCUGUCAUUCUACACCCAGCACCUGGAUGGUUUUCCACCUACCUACUUAGUCCUGUAUCGGGAGACAAAUUCAUUAGUAUAUGAAGGUGAGAGAAUCACUCAACAGAAAGACAUUUUGUUAAGAAUACUACAUUUAAGGAACUAGGUUCAGGGACAAAAACUGAUGCUACUGCCUUGGUAAUUAUCUACAAUCUGAGAACAUUAAAAUGUGCUGUGCGGCUACAGAAAUCAGGUGGUGUUUCACUGUUGCAACAAUAUGUAGAUCAGGGAAGAAAACUGAGUAAGAAGUACAGGAAUAUGGAAUCAAAGACACAGACCAUAAGGGCAGAAUCUAAAUAUGAAACGAAACUUUAAAUUGGAAAAAUAAACUUUAAUUUUGACAGAUGAGCACAUAGUAUGACCAAAUGUAAGAGGGAGUUUCAUGCCGUGAAGCAUGCCCCAUUCUGUUUGAAUGGCUUCGCUUCUAAGGCUUUGUCUCUAAGAUGCUGCUGAUUUUAAGAUGCACCAUUACUGCCAAGAAAGGGAGAGAUACUGCCAUUUAGACUGUCCUGUCCAUUUCUAUCUUAUCUGCAUUAAAAGAGCUCUCUUACAGUUACUGAUGCCAGUGAAGUGCUACAGUGUCUGCUUCCAUGUUUGCAAAUUCUCUAAGAAAAGAAGGGUUCUUAUUGGGUAUACAGAUUUGAGUAUAGAAUUUUUUGCUUUUUUUAACCCUAAAAUAGUUGGAACAUUUUCAUAAGUUUAGCUUUCAUUUUUUAAUGCAAUAUCAUCAACUAUUUUCUAAUCCAUUAAUUAUUAGGCAUCUCUGGCCCCAGUUACAGUAACUGGCCUUUCCUGAAGCAAUUACCCUGAGUCACUAGGACUUCCUGUAUUGGGUGUGAAUUUGAAACAGUAACUCUCAAACCCGGCUACACAGCGGAGCCACCCUGUCGGCAACCUUGGGUCCACAGGCUCUGCAAUGUCACCCUGGUCACCCCAGCAGGGGUGCCCGAGGAAAGGCUUCAUCGAGAAAUAGCUGACCCAGGAAGGGGAGUCCGAUGGAAUUCUGAGUGGCCUGGCGCACUGGGUUCAGGGGUGGCAGCGAGGGGAGAGGACAUCCUCAACCUCUGCUUCCGGAGGUUCAGUGUUACCUCGAUGCCGAUGGAAGCGCAGACACAAAAGGCCAUGUGUGCUGUGAUGCCACUUACAUGAAAUGUCCAUAGAAGUAAAUCCAUAAAACAGA
This is a long non-coding RNA of Manis pentadactyla (Chinese pangolin), 3771 nucleotides long. RefSeq lists it as uncharacterized. NCBI's taxonomy places the organism in Eukaryota, Metazoa, Chordata, Mammalia, Pholidota, Manidae. The transcript is spliced from 2 exons. The record is from RefSeq and is a predicted model, not a curated record.